Molecule: ribosomal RNA, 446 nt
Filed under: uncultured bacterium
Lineage: Bacteria
Description: SSU rRNA
Rfam family: Bacterial small subunit ribosomal RNA
Source: RNAcentral
AGAGCGAACGCUGGCGGCAGGCCUAACACAUGCAAGUCGAGCGCCCGUAGCAAUACGGGAGCGGCAGACGGGAGAGUAACACGUGGGAACGCGCCCUUCGGUUCGGAAUAACUCAGGGAAACUUGAGCUAAUACCGGAUACGCCCUUACGGGGAAAGAUUUAUUGCCGAAGGAACGGCCCGCGUCCGAUUAGCUAGUUGGUGAGGUAAUGGCUCACCAAGGCGACGAUCGGUAGCUGGUCUGAGAGGAUGACCAGCCUCACUGGGACUGAGACACGGCCCAGACUCCUACGGGAGGCAGCAGUGGGGAAUAUUGGACAAUGGGCGCAAGCCUGAUCCAGCCAUGCCGCGUGGAUGAUGAAGGCCUUAGGGUUGUAAAGUCCUUUUAACUGGGAAGAUAAUGACGGUACCGUAGAAUAAGCCCGGCUAACUUCGCGCCAGCAGCCGC